This is a long non-coding RNA of Argentina anserina (silverweed cinquefoil), 476 nucleotides long. RefSeq lists it as uncharacterized. The record is from RefSeq and is a predicted model, not a curated record. NCBI's taxonomy places the organism in Eukaryota, Viridiplantae, Streptophyta, Magnoliopsida, Rosales, Rosaceae. The transcript is spliced from 3 exons.
ACUGUUCACCCGAGCUCGGGCACUGUUCACCCGACCCAAAAACCUUCUCCGGCCGAUUUCUCCACCAUCCGACGUCGCCUCGUGUCGUGCCACCUAUCAAACUGACGGGCUCGACGAGCUCCAUCUUUUGGGCUACGCCUUGCACUCGGGCGACAACCACACACGGUGUAGCAACCGCCGGAAGUUACUGUUGUGGCGGCGCCGCCUCCUCCGGCUACCAUGGCUCGAGAUUCUUAGGGGGUUUUGCUUGUCUCAGUCCCAGCAACAUUCCCACAAAAGGAAUCGAGCCAAAUCGAAGUGUGACUGACGAAACGAGUGAGGAAAUUACUUUCAGGGUCGUGGAAGUUGCACGCAGGAAAGAAGUGGAUAACUCCGCAGGUGUGGAUUAGCGGGAAUUGACGGACCGCUCAGAGGACUUGAAGUUAUUUAUCUCCAGCUUGUGUGAGGAUUUUGUGCGACUAUCUUGUGAGGUUGUU